This 99-nucleotide signal recognition particle RNA is filed under the name Treponema sp. RNAcentral's name for it is "signal recognition particle sRNA small type". It matches the Rfam family "Bacterial small signal recognition particle RNA". Rfam says of the family: The signal recognition particle (SRP) is a universally conserved ribonucleoprotein involved in the co-translational targeting of proteins to membranes. Archaeal SRP consists of a 7S RNA and homologues of the eukaryotic SRP19 and SRP54 proteins. Lineage: Bacteria; Pseudomonadati; Spirochaetota; Spirochaetia; Treponematales; Treponemataceae. The record is from RNAcentral.
AGCCAGGAACCAUGCGAGUUGGCGCCGCCUAACCCCGCCAGGCCCGGAAGGGAGCAACGGUAAGCGGAGGCUUGCUGCGCCGUGAUCAUCCUGGUUUCG